This 513-nucleotide ribosomal RNA is filed under the name uncultured eukaryote. RNAcentral's name for it is "eukaryotic LSU rRNA". It matches the Rfam family "Eukaryotic large subunit ribosomal RNA", at positions 2208 to 2710 of the family's 3401-position model. The record is from RNAcentral.
CUCUGAAUGUUAACGUGAAGAAAUUCAAAUAAGCGCGGGUAACGGCGGGAGUAACUAUGACUCUCUUCUGGUAGCCUAAAAUGCCCUCGUCAUCUAAUUAGUGACGCGCAUGAAUGGAUUAACGAGAUUCCCACUGUCCCUGUCUACUAUCUAGCGAAACCACAGCCAAGGGAACGGGCUUGGACUUCAAUGGCGGGGAAAGAAGACCCUGUUGAGCUUGACUCUAAUCUGUCUUCGUAAAGAGACUUGGAAAAUGUAGCGUAGAUGGGAGUGGCAACACGUCAAUGAAACACCAUUAUUUUCAUUGUUUCUUUACUUACUUGGUUAUACAGAGAUUGGAUUUUAUAUCCAGUGUUUGAGUGACAAAUGUCGAUACUUGUAUCGGCAUGAUCUGCUUCAAGGAAAGAGACAGGUGGGGGAGUUUGGCUGGGGCGGUACAUCUAUCAAAUGUUAACGUAGGUGUCCAAAAAGUUGACUCAGUGCGGACAGAAACCACACAUUGAGUAAAAGGGC